GACGAACGCUGGCGGCGUGCUUAACACAUGCAAGUCGAACGGAAAGGCCCUGCUUUUGUGGGGUGCUCGAGUGGCGAACGGGUGAGUAACACGUGAGUAACCUGCCCUUGACUUUGGGAUAACUUCAGGAAGCUGGGGCUAAUAUCGGAUAGGAGCUCCUGCUGCAUGGUGGGGGUUGGAAAGUUUCGGCGGUUGGGGAUGGACUCGCGGCUUAUCAGCUUGUUGGUGGGGUAGUGGCUUACCAAGGCUUUGACGGGUAGCCGGCCUGAGAGGGUGACCGGCCACAUUGGGACUGAGAUACGGCCCAGACUCCUACGGGAGGCAGCAGUGGGGAAUAUUGCACAAUGGGCGGAAGCCUGAUGCAGCAACGCCGCGUGCGGGAUGACGGCCUUCGGGUUGUAAACCGCUUUCGCCUGUGACGAAGCGUGAGUGACGGUAAUGGGUAAAGAAGCACCGGCUAACUACGUG
RNAcentral lists this ribosomal RNA (468 nucleotides) under uncultured bacterium. Its description in RNAcentral is "partial 16S ribosomal RNA". It matches the Rfam family "Bacterial small subunit ribosomal RNA", at positions 28 to 507 of the family's 1533-position model. The record is from RNAcentral.